AAUGGCAUGAGGCCACAUGCCAUUCAGCCAAGGGAACGGACUUGGAAGAAUCAGCCGGGAAAGAAGACCCUGUUGAGCUUGACUCUAGUCCGACUUUGUCAAUGGGGGCUUUUCAUAUUUAUCCUCUUGAAAAACCAUAGAGGUCUAGUUUCGACAUGCUCGAAACUGGCAAAGAGCAUAUGGGGGGGUUGAGAAGAGGGGAGGAUCCCUAGAACUAGAGUGCGGUUCGGUUCUGUGCAGAUCAGAUCAAGGAACUAGUGUCCGGUUCUGUGCUGCCCAAAGCCAUGCCACUCACUCCGCAAACGCGUGCUCCCUAUCCGUACUGGUGGUGAACUUCGCGCCUUAUCCAUGGUCCUCAGCCUCAUCUCUCCCAUGUGGUUGCAUCUACAGAUGUGAAGGACUUGAGUCAAUCGUGAGAUCAGUGAAGGUACACCGCCCUUGCUUGAUCUCCAUCUGUAUGACGCCUACAGUUUUCCAGAGAUAUAAGAAGCCCCUGGAGAUGUACUGUCCUGGAUCCCACAGUGCGGUGAACUGAGGAGGAGUGUGCCGUCUCCGGUAAUGGUGAUGCUGCUGCUGCCUGGGAGUCCUCUCCUCGCUGCUGUGUGACUGAUCCCCUCCAACUGGGAUUGCUGUUUCCAGCCUCCCAUCAGGCCGUGCAAGUGUAGUGCCGCCACGCCAGUCCCACGGCCUCAUACCAGUGUAGCCGUACCCUUGGCACUAUCCAUCUGGAAUCACAACCAAAGGCGAGCCGCUCCUUUCGGAUCCGGGUUGAAGCUACGUUUCCGUACUCCAACAAGCUAGCCUGAUGCAGCUUCUGACACGAGCCGUGCCCCUCGAAACAUCCCAUACAUCAAAUGGCGUUGCUCCGAGUGCCUUGAUCAUGGUGGAUCCACAACCAAGGCAAGAAAGGGAUCAGCCAACACAGCUGUACCGUACAAAUUGGGACUUCAGUGUGCCGUCGAAAGUUGUUCCUUUGCCGAUUGGGACUAGGUGUACAAUCGGAGGGUAGGGAAGUGCUGCCACGUAGUUUGAAGGACCCGGUGCGUGUCGGAGAAUAGUGUCCUUUGCAUAUUCAAACGAGCAGCCGUAACGGCGCCAAGCGAGUUGUCCCCUCCUUAGGUGGAGCUUGGCUCUCCGGACCCCAAAACUCCGAACCCCAAGUGAAUGAGGAAGGAAGGACGCUGCCGAUGAGGUUCUGUGCAGCUAGUGUCCUUGGAAGAAGUUCCAGCAACCGUGGACUCCAAAGCCCCCAACUUGAACCAUGUUCCGAAAUUUGAACGUUUGGAUCUUGCUCGUGAACCGUUGGAUUGCCACGAAGUUUUGCUGGCGUGUGCUCCUUCGGAGGAUCUAUCUUCCCACCGUUGCGAUCAGUGAAAAGGUACGUGGUUCAGCCGCCGCCGCAAUCCCCAGGUCGUCCAUAACCCUAGCCGCCACCAGAGAUAGGGUCGCCUUGAUCUCCUGAUUCCUGGCUCCAAAUCGCCUGUUCUUGGACUCAGAAUGAUCGUGGGGAUGUGCUCUCUCCAGCCGUGAAAAAGAAUCGUGGGAAAUCCAUGUGGAGAGCUCGCAGUGACUAAAAGAGUACUCUUGACGCUUUCUCGCUCAUGGAACAUGCAAAUCCAGUGAAACCAAGGCACGGCUUGCUCUCAGCAUCGUCCUUAUUGCUCUCCUAGUCCUACUCCUACUCUGGAUCAAGCACGAAAGUCGACUCUCAAGGCACUCCUCUUCUCGCUAAACUUAGGGUUUUUUUUCUCUCUCUAGUCCGACUUUUCACUAGUCCGACUUUUUUUGUUAAACGGGGCUUUUAUUCACCAGAAAACCAAAACUGGGCUGAGUUUCGUUAAGGCACGAAACCAGCAAAGAGCCGCGACAGAAAGUUUCGUCGUGCACGAAACCAACAAAGAGCAAUAGGGGGGGUCUUCACGUGGAGGUACUUUGUAGAAAAACUCGCCGCAGACUUUUAUCUCAAGCCAUGGUCUUGAGUAGAGCCAGCAGAAAGAUGAUGGGAGAAGCUCCAAGUACCAAGGAACCAGCCUUUACGACUUGAGAGUAGAGUUACUGAAGAACUUGUCUCUCUUGAUCCCUUAAGGAGAGACUCCAGGUGCCAAGGGGUCAGUGCUGAGAGGGGAGUUGCUCACAAGCUUGACGGCUCAUGCUGUCGCGAUUGUGGAAUCCAGAACCCUGUCCAGUGGCGUCCACAAUCACUCGUGAGUACUUGCCUCUCUUGAUCCCCUCAGAGGGCAUGCCUUACAUCGUCUUUGUGCCUCGUCGAGUCUCUGAACUGAAGUGUAUCUGACCAUAAGUAUUUCUUGAAACCUUGGAGGUACCCCAUGGACGUACACUGCUCUCCCUUGGUUUCUUCUUGUGCACUUUCAUAUCUGCCCCCCGCUGUAAGCUGCUGAUGAUCGGACCCUACUGAGACUCAGUACCAAUCUUGUCGCUCGUCGGUGUCGAGUGCUCUUGUUGGUGCCUUUGCUCUGGUCCAUGUCUUUAUCUUGAGUGUCUUCAUAGCUAGGGCCAAAGAACUCAUUCAUUGUGACCACACUAAACACCCUCAAUUGUCGUAGAGAAGCUGGAUGUUUGCCCAAGUGUUGGUGACGAAAUCCUCCUCACGUGGGGAGCCUUGUUUCCAAACCUCCACCAUUGUCGACCUUGAAGAAACCCACAAAGAGAACCACCUCCUUGAUAAGUCAUCAAGAUCGACAAACUUGAAGCAAGGUCGCGUACGACACCAUCACUUCAAGCUCCCAAUCCUUGGCAAGAAUCACCUUACAAGUCUUGGGGAUGAAGAGGAUCUCCUUCACCUUGCUUGAGCUCACCACUGUCCAUGGAGCAGGCCUCCAGACCCCCAGAAAGAAAACCGUGGAGUAACGAAGGACAAGUCUAAGCAGCAAGCCGAGGACUCAAAUACUUAGAUCUCCUUCCUCCACCGUUUGAUCUUCCUGAAAAUCUGAAGGCCGACUCUCCAUAUUCAGCUCCAACUUCUCACCGACGUGAUCUCGAAACGAGUGCAUUAGCCAGGAGAACCAGCCGCUCGAACUUACACUGGACUUCACUUGUUUGAACCAUGAAACUUGAGCUGACAGAUCUUGCAGCCCAGCCGUUAGAUCUUCGUGAAACUUUGUAGGCGCAAUCUCCCUAGCGUCUUCUAGCUUCUCACCAGAGCGAUUUUUGGUCCGAUGUCGCCUAAAGCAGCCACAGCUGACCCAUUCUCGCCUCAAACCUUAGCCGCCCAAGUGCCUAGGGUCACUUGUAUCUUCCCAGAUCUUUAUCCAAACGGCCUGCAUCUAGUGACAGAGUGUCUUUGCCUUGUAGAACCCCAGCCGUGGAGAAGAAAAGAGAAGCCCAGCCGGUGAUGAGUGCCAGACGCUCAAACUUCCACUGGCCCACACUUGCUUGAACCGUGAACUUCGAGCAGACGGAUCUCGCAACCCAGCCGUUAGAUCUUCUUGAAAUCUUGUAGUUGCAGUCUCCCUGGUGUCUUCUAGCUUCUCACCAGAGCGAUCUCAGAUCAGAUGGCGCAUAUAGCAGUCGCAGCCGACCCUUGCUCACCCCGAACCCUAGCCGCCGACAUGACUAGGGCCACUUCGAUCUUCUCGGAUUUCAAUCCAAACGGCCUGCAGAUAGCGACAGAGUGUUGCCUUGCAUUGUAGGAGCCCAGCCGUGGAUAGAACAGAGAAGACCAGCCAGUGAUGAGAGCAAAACAAAAGAUUUUUCGAUGAAGUGCCCAAUAUUGCUUGUGCCUUCGAUUCUUGAGGGGGCGCCUUGAUUCAGCAGCUCACAGGACUUCUACACUACCUCCUCUACACUAGAUCUGGCCACGGAAGUCGACUCUCAAUGCGCCAUCUCCUCCUCUCCGUCUAGGGUUUUCUAGUCCGACUUUUCUAGUCCCACUAGUCCGACUUUUUGUCAAUGGGGUUUUAUUUAGUUUAGCCUCUAUAAACCAUAGAGUCCGAUUUCGACAUGCUCGAAACCGGGAAAGAGCUCUUCAAGAUUUUUAGGGGGGGUGGGACGAGGGGGACGAAGUAGAACUGGUACUCGAGCCCGUGAUGUCUGAGCUCCAAGCUUUCGAAGUUCCUGAUGUGGAACUCUGUCGACUCGGGGAGGUACACGUGCUUUCGUUCCUGAACAUGUGCUGCCAAAUCCAUAUUGGUGGCUUCCACGUCCAUUCUUCUUCUCCAGCCUCGCUUCUUCCUCUAAAAAACAGCCACAGCUUCUUCUCCUUCGCUAUCUUCCCUUCCUCGCCUCGUUUGAUCAGCGUGUCCAGGCGGGCCGCGAGUGAGACGAUCAGUCUGGACCAAACCUUUGAGAUAGUUGCUCGAGCCGAGGGGUCCGUGUCCUCGAACAGCCUGGCGCAGCGAGCCUUCCAUAUCUCUGCUAGUGUGCAUCCCCGACUAGUCCGACUUUUUGUCAAUGGGGGCUUUUCAUAUUUAUCCUCUUGAAAAACCAUAGAGGUCCAGUUUCGACAUGCUCGAAACUGGCAAAGAGCAUAUGGGGGGGUUGAGAAGAGGGGAGGAUCCCUAGAACUAGAGUGCAGUUCGGUUCUGUGCAGAUCAGAUCAAGGAACUAGUGUCCGGUUCUGUGCUGCCCAAAGCCAUGCCACUCACUCCGCAAACGCGUGCUCCCUAUCCGUACUGGUGGUGAACUUCGCGCCUUAUCCAUGGUCCCCAGCCUCAUCUCUCCCAUGUGGUUGCAUCUACAAAUGUGAAGGACUUGAGUCGAUCGUGAGAUCAGUGAAGGUACACCGCCCUUGCUUGAUCUCCAUCUGUAUGACGCCUACAGUUUUCCAGAGAUAUAAGAAGCCCCUGGAGAUGUACUGUCCUAGAUCCCACAGUGCGGUGAACUGAGGAGGAGUGUGCCGUCUCCGGUAAUGGUGAUGCUGCUGCUGCCUGGGAGUCCUCUCCUCACUGCUGUGUGACUGAUCCCCUCCAACUGGGAUUGCUGUUUCCAGCCUCCCAUCAGGCCGUGCAAGUGUAGUGCCGCCACGCCAGUCCCACGGCCUCAUACCAGUGUAGCCGUACCCUUGGUGCUAUCCAUCUGGAAUCACAACCAAAGGCGAGCCGCUCCUUUCGGAUCCGGGUUGAAGCUACGUUUCCGUACUCCAACAAGCUAGCCUGAUGCAGCUUCUGACACGAGCCGUGCCCCUCGAAACAUCCCAUACAUCAAAUGGCGUUGCUCCGAGUGCCUUGAUCAUGGUGGAUCCACAACCAAGGCAAGAAAGGGAUCAGCCAACACAGCUGUACCGUACAAAUUGGGACUUCAGUGUGCCGUCGAAAGUUGUUCCUUUGCCGAUUGGGACUAGGUGUACAAUCGGAGGGUAGGGAAGUGCUGCCACGUAGUUUGAAGGACCCGGUGCGUGUCGGAGAAUAGUGUCCUUUGCAUAUUCAAACGAGCAGCCGUAACGACUAGUCCGACUUUUUGUCAAUGGGGUUUUAUUUAGUUUAGCCUCUAUAAACCAUAGAGUCCGAUUUCGACA
This 5473-nucleotide long non-coding RNA is filed under the name Selaginella moellendorffii. Its description in RNAcentral is "long non-coding RNA (SMOE_LNC002041)". Lineage: Eukaryota; Viridiplantae; Streptophyta; Lycopodiopsida; Selaginellales; Selaginellaceae. The record is from RNAcentral.